RNAcentral lists this ribosomal RNA (572 nucleotides) under Arthrographis grakistii. Its description in RNAcentral is "partial large subunit ribosomal RNA". It matches the Rfam family "Eukaryotic large subunit ribosomal RNA", at positions 69 to 666 of the family's 3401-position model. The record is from RNAcentral. Lineage: Eukaryota; Fungi; Ascomycota; Dothideomycetes; Eremomycetales; Eremomycetaceae.
CAGGGAUUACCUUAGUAACGGCGAGUGAAGCGGUAACGGCUCAAAUUGAAAAUCGGCCCCCCCGUCGAGUUGUAAUUUGCAGAGGAUGCUUCGGCUUACGCCCCGGCCCAAGUCCGUUGGAACACGGCGUCGCAGAGGGUGAGAAUCCCGUUGCGGCCGGCGGCCCCGCCAUGUGAAGCUCCUUCGACGAGUCGAGUUGUUUGGGAAUGCAGCUCAAAAUGGGAGGUAAAUUUCUUCUAAAGCUAAAUAUUGGCCCGAGACCGAUAGCGCACAAGUAGAGUGAUCGAAAGAUGAAAAGCAUCUUGGAAAGGAAUCGAAACAGCACGUGAAAUUGUUGAAGGGGAAGCGCUCGCGGCGAGAGCCCGCGCGGUCGUUCACCGGGGCCUCGCGCCCCGGGCACGCGGCCGCGUCGGCCAGCAUCGGUUCGGGCGGCGGGAGAAACGCCGACGGCAUGUGGCUCCCCCCGGGGAGUGUUAUAGCCGCGGCGCAAUACCGCCCGCCUGGACCGUGGCACGCGCUCUCGCUCGGAUGCUGGCGUAAUCGCCGCGAGCGGCCCGUCUUGAAACACGGAC